Molecule: transfer RNA, 85 nt
Organism: Felis catus (domestic cat)
Lineage: Eukaryota; Metazoa; Chordata; Mammalia; Carnivora; Felidae
Rfam family: tRNA
About the family: Transfer RNA (tRNA) molecules are approximately 80 nucleotides in length.
Source: Rfam
ACCUGGGUAGCUCAGUCGGUUGAGCGUCCGACUUCGGCUCAGGUCAUGAUCUCACAGUUUGUGGGUUCAAGCCCCGCAUCAGGCU